CUGGNGGCAUGCUUUACACAUGCAAGUCGAACGGCAGCACGAAAGAGCUUGCUCUUUUGGUGGCGAGUGGCGAACGGGUGAGUAAUACAUUGGAACGUACCGAGUAAUGGGGGAUAACUGUCCGAAAGGAUGGCUAAUACCGCAUACGCUCUGAGGAGGAAAGCGGGGGACCUUCGGGCCUCGCGUUAUUCGAGCGGCCAAUGUUUGAUUAGCUAGUUGGUGGGGUAAAGGCCUACCAAGGCGACGAUCAGUAGUGGGUNUGAGAGGAUGAUCCGCCACACUGGGACUGAGACACGGCCCAGACUCCUACGGGAGGCAGCAGUGGGGAAUUUUGGACAAUGG
This 342-nucleotide ribosomal RNA is filed under the name uncultured Neisseria sp. RNAcentral's name for it is "bacterial SSU rRNA". It matches the Rfam family "Bacterial small subunit ribosomal RNA", at positions 36 to 374 of the family's 1533-position model. The record is from RNAcentral. Lineage: Bacteria; Pseudomonadati; Pseudomonadota; Betaproteobacteria; Neisseriales; Neisseriaceae.